This 244-nucleotide ribosomal RNA is filed under the name uncultured bacterium. Its description in RNAcentral is "partial 16S ribosomal RNA". It matches the Rfam family "Bacterial small subunit ribosomal RNA", at positions 524 to 765 of the family's 1533-position model. The record is from RNAcentral.
UACAGAGGGUGCGAGCGUUGUCCGGAAUCACUGGGCGUAAAGGGCGCGUAGGCGGCGCGGUAAGCGUGCGGUGAAAGCCCGGGGCUCAACCCCGGGUCGGCCGUGCGGACUGCCGGGCUGGAGCACUGUAGAGGCAGGUGGAAUUCCGGGUGUAGCGGUGGAAUGCGUAGAGAUCCGGAAGAACACCGGUGGCGAAGGCGGCCUGCUGGGCCAGUAGCUGGACGCUGAAGCGCGACAGCGUGGG